CCUACGGGCGGCUGCAGUAGGGAAUCUUCCACAAUGGGCGAAAGCCUGAUGGAGCAACGCCGCGUGGGUGAAGAAGGUCUUCGGAUCGUAAAACCCUGUUGUUAGAGAAGAAAGUGCGUGAGAGUAACUGUUCACGUUUCGACGGUAUCUAACCAGAAAGCCACGGCUAACUACGUGCCAGCAGCCGCGGUAAUACGUAGGUGGCAAGCGUUAUCCGGAUUUAUUGGGCGUAAGGGGAACGCAGGCGGUCUGUUAAGUCUGAUGUGAAAGCCUUCGGCUUAACCGGAGUAGUGCAUUGGAAACUGGGAGGCUUGAGUGCAGAAGAGGAGAGUGGAACUCGAGGUGUAGCGGUGAAGUGCGUAGAGAGAUGGAAGAAGACCAGUGGCGAGAGCGGCUCUCUGGUCUGUAACUGACGCUGAGGUUCGAAAGCGUGGGUAGCAAACAGGAUUAGAUACCCGAGUAGUG
RNAcentral lists this ribosomal RNA (465 nucleotides) under uncultured bacterium. RNAcentral's name for it is "partial 16S ribosomal RNA". It matches the Rfam family "Bacterial small subunit ribosomal RNA", at positions 338 to 795 of the family's 1533-position model. The record is from RNAcentral.